AUUGGCUAGUGGUAGUAUGGACAACACCAUCCAUAUCUGGAAUAUGAGCAAUGGUAUAUGCUCUGCUGUUCUGAGGGGUCACUCUAGUCUUGUUAAAGGUGUCACCUGGGAUCCGAUUGGUUCAUUUAUAGCUAGUCAAUCAGAUGAUAAGACUGUCAUAAUUUGGCGAACAAGCGACUGGAGCCUUGCUCAUAGAACUGAAGGUCACUGGGCAAAAUCUCUUGGAUCGACCUUCUUUAGGCGUCUUGGAUGGUCA
This 256-nucleotide unclassified non-coding RNA is filed under the name Hevea brasiliensis (rubber tree). The record is from RNAcentral. Lineage: Eukaryota; Viridiplantae; Streptophyta; Magnoliopsida; Malpighiales; Euphorbiaceae.